Molecule: non-coding RNA, 25 nt
Filed under: Mus musculus (house mouse)
Lineage: Eukaryota; Metazoa; Chordata; Mammalia; Rodentia; Muridae
Source: RNAcentral
UACAGUUUAGGGAAGAAAGGGUUGA